RNAcentral lists this microRNA precursor (104 nucleotides) under Marmota monax (woodchuck). The record is from RNAcentral. Lineage: Eukaryota; Metazoa; Chordata; Mammalia; Rodentia; Sciuridae.
ACAUGAGUCAUUUGGGAUGUUGGUAAAAUUCAGGUUCUGAUUCACCAGGUCAGGGGUGGGACUUAUGUGUCUGCAUUUCUAACAAGUUCCCAAGUGAUGACAAA